Molecule: ribosomal RNA, 573 nt
Filed under: fungal endophyte
Lineage: Eukaryota; Fungi
Description: eukaryotic LSU rRNA
Rfam family: 5.8S ribosomal RNA (bases 204-357)
Source: RNAcentral
CUCCGUUGGUGAACCAGCGGAGGGAUCAUUACUGAGUUUACGCUCUAUAACCCUUUGUGAACAUACCUAUAACUGUUGCUUCGGCGGGUAGGGUCUCCGCGACCCUCCCGGCCUCCCGCCUCCGGGCGGGUCGGCGCCCGCCGGAGGAUAACCAAACUCUGAUUUAACGACGUUUCUUCUGAGUGGUACAAGCAAAUAAUCAAAACUUUUAACAACGGAUCUCUUGGUUCUGGCAUCGAUGAAGAACGCAGCGAAAUGCGAUAAGUAAUGUGAAUUGCAGAAUUCAGUGAAUCAUCGAAUCUUUGAACGCACAUUGCGCCCGCCAGCAUUCUGGCGGGCAUGCCUGUUCGAGCGUCAUUUCAACCCUCAAGCUCUGCUUGGUGUUGGGGCCCUACAGCUGAUGUAGGCCCUCAAAGGUAGUGGCGGACCCUCCCGGAGCCUCCUUUGCGUAGUAACUUUACGUCUCGCACUGGGAUCCGGAGGGACUCUUGCCGUAAAACCCCCCAAUUUUCCAAAGGUUGACCUCGGAUCAGGUAGGAAUACCCGCUGAACUUAAGCAUAUCAAUAAGCGGA